RNAcentral lists this ribosomal RNA (475 nucleotides) under uncultured bacterium. RNAcentral describes it as "bacterial SSU rRNA". It matches the Rfam family "Bacterial small subunit ribosomal RNA", at positions 43 to 524 of the family's 1533-position model. The record is from RNAcentral.
CAGGCCUAACACAUGCAAGUCGAACGGUGGUAGCGAUCCCAUACUGGCGCACGGGUGCGUAACACGUAAGCAACCUACCCAGAACUGGGGGAUAGCCCGCCGAAAGGCGGAUUAAUACCGCAUAAGCUAGUGAUGCGGCAUCGGGAGAUUGGUAAAGAUCUCUUGGUUUGGGAUGGGGUGGCGGGUCAUUAGCUAAUCGGGUGGGUAACGGCUGCCCAAGGCCACGAUGACUAAGGGAGCUGAGAGGCUGGUCCCCCACACGGGCACUGAGAUACGGGCCCAAGUCCUAUUUUAGGCAGCAGGAGGGAAUAUUGGGCAAUGGGCCCAAGCCUGACCCACUCAUGCCGCGUGGAGGAUGAAGGCACUCAACGUUGUAAACUUCUUAUAUCGGGGAAGAACGGCAGGACUGACGGAUCGUGUGACUGGUCUCGAGGAAUCACCACGCGCUAGCUCCGUGUCAGCCGGCUGCAGUAAU